CGGAAGGGGCGCGCCUUCCCGAAAUGGGCGGGGCCAGCCGGCGCCCGGAGGCGGGGCCUGAGCGCGGGGCCCACAGGCCUCCCGGACCCGGCGUGGGCCUGCGGGGUCCGCGCCGCCGGCUCGCACAGCGGCUCGCUCCCCUCCCGCGGGCGCCGGGCGGCCCUGCGACGAUCCGUGUGCACGCCGACCCGAGGGCCCCGGGGCUUGCGGCGCUCGGCCGCCUCGCCGCCCGGACUCCGGAAGGGUGGGAAGGAAAGCAGAGCUGGCGGCGGCGUCUUUGUCCCUUUUCCGGAACGGAGCGCCGCACUGCGCGGAAAGCGCCGCGACCUGAACCUAGAAACCCACGGCCCAGGCCGCGGUCGUCGUGGGGCCGCCCCCCUGGCGGCUCCAGUGUGGCGUGGGGCGCUCCGCACCGCCCGGACUCCCUGGGCCCUUGUUUCCAGAGUUGGCCUUAGUCGGGCAUAUUGAGGGACAAUACUUGCGAUUUCCGUGGCUCAGCAUCUGCGCUUGGAUCCUCUCGGGGCCUAGAUUUCAGAAUCUCAAAGGUUUGGCCACUGCACUCCCACCCCCUCCAGUAAAGCAAGGUGGAUGCAUUAUUUAACAACACCGAGCCAUUAGCAUUUGGGGCCUCACCUCUCUGAGUUGGCCCUUGAGCAACUAAAUGCUCUAUUGAGGAGGCAAAAAACAAGCAUGAAAAAGGACGGCCCCAUCCGCGUCAGCACUGCGCCCGCUCUAGACGCCCCGGAACCUUCAGCUGCUGCUGCAGGGCGGCUGGAAUCAGACUCGCCACCUGCACGGCCGAGGGCAGGACCCCCAGGAGCGCCACUGGACCCAUCUCUUACACAGGCUGACCGAUUUCUCCUGGUGUUCAGAGUCUGUUUUUGUCUAGCACCAUUUGAAAUCGGUUAUGAUGUAGGGGGACAAGCAGCAGCCUCGAAGCCUCGUGCCAACCGUGGUGAGCAAGCGCCCGUGGUCUCCCGGAGGACGGACGGGCAGAGUGGGGAAGGACGAUCUCGCGCUUUUUUCACUAACUUCUUUAACUGCAUUUAUGAUGCCUUAUUGCAGAGGUAAGAGAGCACUGAAUGUCUUUUCAAAGACAAAUGGCCAUAAUGCAUCUGAGGUCCCGGGUUGCAUGUUGCUGAAAUGCGGCAGCUGCUGUCAGCGGUUGCUGUUGAAUCAUCUUUCCGUGAAGAGUCUGUUCGUGCUCCUGACCUGAAUAAAUACUUCACUCUACUCAA
Mirounga angustirostris (Northern elephant seal) is the source of this 1238-nucleotide long non-coding RNA. RefSeq lists it as uncharacterized. NCBI's taxonomy places the organism in Eukaryota, Metazoa, Chordata, Mammalia, Carnivora, Phocidae. The record is from RefSeq and is a predicted model, not a curated record. The transcript is spliced from 2 exons.